UACAUAGGGUGCAAGCGUUAAUCGGAAUUACUGGGCGUAAAGCGUGCGCAGGCGGUUAUGCAAGUCAGAUGUGAAAUCCCCGGGCUCAACCUGGGAACUGCAUUUGUGACUGCAUGGCUGGAGUGCGGCAGAGGGGGAUGGAAUUCCGCGUGUAGCAGUGAAAUGCGUAGAUAUGCGGAGGAACACCGAUGGCGAAGGCAAUCCCCUGGGCCUGCACUGACGCUCAUGCACGAAAGCGUGGGGAGCAAACAGG
Molecule: ribosomal RNA, 253 nt
Filed under: uncultured bacterium
Lineage: Bacteria
Description: partial 16S ribosomal RNA
Rfam family: Bacterial small subunit ribosomal RNA
Source: RNAcentral